GGAAUGGAAUGAUCCUACGGGAGGCAGCAGUGGGGAAUAUUGGACAAUGGGCGAAAGCCUGAUCCAGCCAUGCCGCGUGUGUGAAGAAGGUCUUCGGAUUGUAAAGCACUUUAAGUUGGGAGGAAGGGUUGUAGAUUAAUACUCUGCAAUUUUGACGUACCGACAGAUAGC
RNAcentral lists this ribosomal RNA (171 nucleotides) under uncultured Pseudomonas sp. RNAcentral describes it as "partial 16S ribosomal RNA". It matches the Rfam family "Bacterial small subunit ribosomal RNA", at positions 323 to 491 of the family's 1533-position model. Lineage: Bacteria; Pseudomonadati; Pseudomonadota; Gammaproteobacteria; Pseudomonadales; Pseudomonadaceae. The record is from RNAcentral.